AAGCAUAUCAGAAGGACACCUUCUGAUAAACUUCUUGUAUCUUUCCCAAGCAUCGUAAAGGGAUUCACCUUCCUUCUGUUUGAAGGUUUAAACUUCCACUCUAAGCUU
Molecule: small nucleolar RNA, 108 nt
Organism: Arachis duranensis
Lineage: Eukaryota; Viridiplantae; Streptophyta; Magnoliopsida; Fabales; Fabaceae
Source: RefSeq, a predicted model, not a curated record